UACGGAGGGGGUUAGCGUUGGUCGGAAUUACUGGGCGUAAAGCGCACGUAGGCGGACUAUUAAGUCAGGGGUGAAAUCCCGGGGCUCAACCCCGGAACUGCCCUUGAUACUGGCAGUCUAGAGUUCGAGAGAGGUGAGCGGAAUUCCGAGUGUAGAGGUGAAAUUCGUAGAUAUUCGGAGGAACACCAGUGGCGAAGGCGGCACACGGGCUCGAUACUGACGCUGAGGUGCGAAAGUGUGGGGAGCAAACAGG
RNAcentral lists this ribosomal RNA (253 nucleotides) under uncultured bacterium. RNAcentral describes it as "partial 16S ribosomal RNA". It matches the Rfam family "Bacterial small subunit ribosomal RNA", at positions 524 to 776 of the family's 1533-position model. The record is from RNAcentral.